CAGCCGUAAACUAUGCGCGUUAGGUGUACUGGUGACCACGAGUCACCGGGUGCCGAAGGGAAACCGUGAAACGUGCCGCCUGGGAAGUACGGUCGCAAGGCUGAAACUUAAAGGAAUUGGCUGGGGAGCACCACAACGGGUGGAGCCUGCGGUUUAAUUGGACUCAACGCCGGAAAUCUCACCGGAUAGGACAGACAUAUGAUAGUCGGGCUGAAGACUCUACUUGAUGAUCUGAGAGGUGGUGCAUGGCGUCAGUGACU
RNAcentral lists this ribosomal RNA (260 nucleotides) under uncultured archaeon. RNAcentral describes it as "partial 16S ribosomal RNA". It matches the Rfam family "Archaeal small subunit ribosomal RNA", at positions 748 to 1008 of the family's 1478-position model. The record is from RNAcentral.